RNAcentral lists this long non-coding RNA (1088 nucleotides) under Manacus vitellinus (golden-collared manakin). RNAcentral describes it as "lncRNA (ENSMVIG00005007916.1)". Lineage: Eukaryota; Metazoa; Chordata; Aves; Passeriformes; Pipridae. The record is from RNAcentral.
GGCAACUGUGGGGCAAUGAACUUGGCUUCCUGCUUCUCCCUUGAAAUUUAGCUGAUUUUCCCAUUUCAUGUUGAUUCUUCCCCAUUUGACUUUUCUGUCACCGUAAGUCACUCUCAUGACCCCUUGUGUUCUUCUACCCUGUAGACUCAUGUCCACUGCAUUUAUUCUGUCCUUGUAGCCAGAUUUUACCUACCAGUGACAGUGGGUAUAACCUGCUAUUACCUGGACUGAUAGAAAGAAGGAACAAGUGGAGGAGCAUCCAGGAUGGAGAAAGGUGUCCCCUUGUAACCUUUCGGCCAGCAGAGGUAACUGCUGGGGCAGGACAGUUCCCUGCCAGGGAGCUGUGCCAUGGACAUCUGCCUGCCCCUGAGCCACUAGGAGCCAAACCCAUCAGGACCACGCUCCCGAGCUCGUGAUGGGUGAGUGGUGUGGUGCUGUGCGUGCUCCACACCACCGCUCACAUCCUGCUCCUCGCCAGCACGCACACAUUUGUCUUGUGCAAUCCCAAACCUCUGGCAAUGCUCACUUCCCUCCUCCCAGCUUCCCUGGUUUCAUUUAGUGCCCGGAAGCCCCAGUGUGGCUUUGAUGAGCCCCUUGCACCCUGCUUGGAGGAGGCAUGAGCAGCCAUGCCCUGGGACACCGCAGUCCUGCCGAGGAUCGCAGCGACGUGGAGCAGGUGGUUGGAGCACAGGGGCUGACAUAGGUUCCUCCAAGGCUUCAGUCCAGCCUUUCUGGCUGGUGGGUACAAGGAGGAUUUCAGGAGCCCCAUGGAGCAGCUGGAUCUGCACACCUGGAGGGGGAAGGAGCCGUGUACGUGCUUACUCAUGAGCGUGACAGAGUCUGCCCACAGUAACUCUCAUUCUUCUUGUUCCUGAUGAAACUUGCAUAAAGGUCAGCAAGAAAACACAGAAAUACCUGAGAAUGUCUUCACUUCUUGUUAAAAUAUAAUUUCAAAACGUCCUGUAAUAACCAAGCCACCGGAAAUACUCAGUGCUACUUUUUUCCAAGUUGAAAAUACCUGGUUUUCAGCUUCUGUAACCCCCUUCCUCUCCCCAGGGUGGGUUUUAUUGGUGCUAUUUGAAAGUGAA